UUGAACGCUGGCGGCAUGCCUUACACAUGCAAGUCGAACGGUAGAGGGGCAACCCUUGAGAGUGGCGAACGGGUGAGUAAUACAUCGGAACGUGCCCAGUCGUGGGGGAUAACGCAGCGAAAGCUGCGCUAAUACCGCAUACGAUCUAUGGAUGAAAGCGGGGGAUCGCAAAGACCUCGCGCGAUUGGAGCGGCCGAUAUCAGAUUAGGUAGUUGGUGGGUAAAAGCCCACCAAGCCGACGAUCUGUAGCUG
Molecule: ribosomal RNA, 252 nt
Filed under: uncultured bacterium
Lineage: Bacteria
Description: partial 16S ribosomal RNA
Rfam family: Bacterial small subunit ribosomal RNA
Source: RNAcentral